Molecule: ribosomal RNA, 253 nt
Filed under: uncultured bacterium
Lineage: Bacteria
Description: partial 16S ribosomal RNA
Rfam family: Bacterial small subunit ribosomal RNA
Source: RNAcentral
UACGGAGGAUGCAAGCGUUAUCCGGAAUGAUUGGGCGUAAAGCGUCCGCAGGUGGCUAUGUAAGUCUGCUGUUAAAGAGUGAGGCUCAACCUCGUAAGAGCAGUGGAAACUACAUGGCUAGAGUGCGUUCGGGGCAGAGGGAAUUCCUGGUGUAGCGGUGAAAUGCGUAGAUAUCAGGAAGAACACCGGUGGCGAAAGCGCUCUGCUAGGCCGCAACUGACACUGAGGGACGAAAGCUAGGGGAGCGAAUGGG